UUGGAUAACCGUGGUAAUUCUAGAGCUAAUACAUGCUAAAAACCCCAACUUCGGAAGGGGUGUAUUUAUUAGAUAAAAAACCAACGCCCUUCGGGGCUUCUUGGUGAUUCAUGAUAACUUCACGGAUCGCAUGGCCUUGCGCCGGCGACGGUUCAUUCAAAUUUCUGCCCUAUCAACUUUCGAUGGUAAGGUAUUGGCUUACCAUGGUUUCAACGGGUAACGGGGAAUUAGGGUUCGAUUCCGGAGAGGGAGCCUGAGAAACGGCUACCACAUCCAAGGAAGGCAGCAGGCGCGCAAAUUACCCAAUCCCGACACGGGGAGGUAGUGACAAUAAAUACUGAUACAGGGCUCUUUUGGGUCUUGUAAUUGGAAUGAGUACAAUUUAAACCUCUUAACGAGGAACAAUUGGAGGGCAAGUCUGGUGCCAGCAGCCGCGGUAAUUCCAGCUCCAAUAGCGUAUAUUAAAGUUGUUGCAGUUAAAAAGCUCGUAGUUGAAACUUGGGUCUGGCUGGCAGGUCCGCCUCACCGCGUGUACUUGUCCGGCCGGGCCUUUCCUUCUGGAGAACCUCAUGCCCUUCACUGGGCGUGUUGGGGAACCAGGACUUUUACUUUGAAAAAAUUAGAGUGUUCAAAGCAGGCCUUUGCUCGAAUACGUUAGCAUGGAAUAAUAGAAUAGGACGUGCGGUCCUAUUUUGUUGGUUUCUAGGACCGCCGUAAUGAUUAAUAGGGACAGUCGGGGGCAUCAGUAUUCAAUUGUCAGAGGUGAAAUUCUUGGAUUUAUUGAAGACUAACUACUGCGAAAGCAUUUGCCAAGGAUGUUUUCAUUAAUCAGUGAACGAAAGUUAGGGGAUCGAAGACGAUCAGAUACCGUCGUAGUCUUAACCGUAAACUAUGCCGACUAGGGAUCGGGCGAUGUUCUUUUU
RNAcentral lists this ribosomal RNA (923 nucleotides) under Thyrostroma tiliae. Its description in RNAcentral is "SSU rRNA". It matches the Rfam family "Eukaryotic small subunit ribosomal RNA", at positions 139 to 1070 of the family's 1831-position model. RNAcentral also lists the same sequence under 1 other name. Lineage: Eukaryota; Fungi; Ascomycota; Dothideomycetes. The record is from RNAcentral.